Long non-coding RNA from Engraulis encrasicolus (European anchovy), 272 nucleotides. RefSeq lists it as uncharacterized. The record is from RefSeq and is a predicted model, not a curated record. Lineage: Eukaryota; Metazoa; Chordata; Actinopteri; Clupeiformes; Engraulidae. The transcript has 3 exons.
AAACAGAGGAGGACAGAUUGACAAACGCCUAGAGAACAUUUUGGCUUGCAUGACUGAGGAUGAUGUUGAUGGAGGACGUGAAUGCAUCCUGAAGGCGUUGUGUGUGUACCUCAAUGAAGACCCCAAAUGUCUACUUCGCGCGUUUGUGGCACAAGACGAAAUCCAAGUGCAAGAGGGAAUGGAGGAAACGACUGUAGGGAUCUACAUCGUCAAAGCAGAUGCCACCAGCAAAGCAGAUGACAUUGGCAUCAUUUUGGAAGGCCAGCAGGUGU